AGGCUCGUCCUGUUACUAUCUAUUUUACUGUGAACUGUUUUAUUUUACAGCGUUUGAGGGAUGUUCUUGUGUUAUAUGGGUAGGCAUAAGAAAUGUUAACCGAGCUGUAAUCAGGCUUAGGCUUGGUACCCUGUUUAUAUACUUUCAAUUGAUCAGAUUUUAAAAUGUAACAUAGAGUAAAAUCUAUAAAACAACUUUUAACAACGGAUCUCUUGGCUUUUGCAUCGAUGAAGAACGUAGCAAAUUGCGAUAACUAGUGUGAAUUGCAAAUUCAGUGAAUCAUCGAGUCUUUGAACGCAUCUUGCGCUCAUUGGUAUUCCAGUGAGCACGCCUGUUUCAGUAUCAAAAACAACCCUCAUUCAAAUUUUUUUUUGAAUGGUCAUGAAGGAAGCUACUUGUUGGCGACCUUUUAAAUUGAGUAAGGCCUGAAUUUGUUUAUCUAGCCUGAACUUUUUUUUAAUAUAAAGGAAAGCUCUUGCGACUUGAACUUUGUUGGGGCCUCCCAAAUAAAGCUUUUUC
This 519-nucleotide unclassified non-coding RNA is filed under the name Blakeslea trispora. Its description in RNAcentral is "sequence contains ITS1, 5.8S rRNA gene and ITS2". The stretch from base 193 to 345 matches the Rfam family "5.8S ribosomal RNA". The record is from RNAcentral. Lineage: Eukaryota; Fungi; Mucoromycota; Mucoromycetes; Mucorales; Choanephoraceae.